Molecule: long non-coding RNA, 219 nt
Filed under: Capsicum annuum
Lineage: Eukaryota; Viridiplantae; Streptophyta; Magnoliopsida; Solanales; Solanaceae
Description: long non-coding RNA (CANN_LNC018792)
Source: RNAcentral
AAGUAUACAUAUACUCAUCAAUAUCACCAGUGCAUUUAAGACCGGUAAUAAUGACAAAUUCAAGUAUGGUAAAUUUCAGGAUCUUCCCCUGCACCCACACAUGAAUCUUGUCCUUAAUAUCCUGCUGAAUUUCUAGUAUAAGGAUACAUUUUGAAAUGUGCCCUAUCUAGUUGCAUUGCGGCAAGUCAAGAAAAAUCCAAAAUAACGUAUUUCUAAAUU